This 726-nucleotide ribosomal RNA is filed under the name uncultured eukaryote. RNAcentral describes it as "eukaryotic LSU rRNA". The stretch from base 344 to 497 matches the Rfam family "5.8S ribosomal RNA". The record is from RNAcentral.
AAAGUCGUAACAAGGUUUCCGUAGGUGAACCUGCGGAAGGAUCAUUACCGUGAGAUAUAGGAUGUGUUUCCCAAACACAUUGCUGGCUUUACACUGUGAACUGUAGGCUCUGUUAAGAGUUGCUUGCCAAGUGGCCACUAUAGUGAGGUAACCCCGAGAGAGCAAGGGUUUUGAACAGAACAGUGCUUCGACUGUCUCGCCUCACUGGUCAGUUGGUCUCGUCUUCUCUUGUGAAACACUUGUAACACAACGUUCCAAUAUGUGGCUUGUCUGUCUGUCUGUCGGGAAAAACGAAAGGUAGUAAAUUAUACUAGCCAAAGGUAGCGAAAGGUUAAAAAGCAAUAACUGCUAACGGUGGAUCUCUAGGCUCGUGUAUCGAUGAAGAACGUAGCUAUGUGCGAUAAGUAAUGUGAAUUGCAGAAUGAAGUGAAUCAUCGAAUCUUUGAACGCAAAUUGCGCUCUCUGGAUCUCCAAGGAGCAUGUCUGUCUGAGUGUCGUGCAAUAUCAAACACACUUAGGUGUGGCUGGAGAGUUCAAGUGUCCUUUGCACACUCGUCUCUCGACGUGGGUUUGAAGUGACUGAUGGCACAACGUGUACAGUCAAGGCUCAACUAGCUUCUGUCCUUGAACUCGUCUCUUGUGACUGUCGACGGUUAAGAUCUCAGACCUCAGAUCAGGCAAAAUUACCCGCUGAAUUUAAGCAUAUCAAUAAGCGGAGGAAAUCAC